This 935-nucleotide ribosomal RNA is filed under the name uncultured Syntrophaceae bacterium. Its description in RNAcentral is "bacterial SSU rRNA". It matches the Rfam family "Bacterial small subunit ribosomal RNA", at positions 8 to 916 of the family's 1533-position model. Lineage: Bacteria; Pseudomonadati; Thermodesulfobacteriota; Syntrophia; Syntrophales; Syntrophaceae. The record is from RNAcentral.
AGAGUUUGAUCCUGGCUCAGAACAAACGCUGGCGGCGUGCCUAACACAUGCAAGUCGUACGAGAAAGUCCGCUUCGGUGGAUGAGUAAAGUGGCGCACGGGUGAGUAACGCGUGGAUAAUCUACCCUUUAGUCUGGAAUAACUUAUCGAAAGGUGAACUAAUACCGGAUAAUAUCCCGAUUUCUUCGGCGAUCGGGAUCAAAGAAGGCCUCUGCUUGCAAGCUUUCACUGAAGGAUGAGUCCGCGUACCAUUAGCUAGUUGGCAGGGUAAUGGCCUACCAAGGUUAUGAUGGUUAGCUGGUCUGAGAGGAUGAUCAGCCACACUGGAACUGAAACACGGUCCAGACUCCUACGGGAGGCAGCAGUGAGGAAUAUUGCGCAAUGGGGGCAACCCUGACGCAGCAACGCCGCGUGAGUGAGGAAGGUUUUCGGAUUGUAAAGCUCUGUCGAGCGGAAAGAAGUGCAUGGUGGUUAAUAUCCAUCAUGCUUGACGGUACCGCUAAAGGAAGCACCGGCUAACUCCGUGCCAGCAGCCGCGGUAAUACGGGGGGUGCAAGCGUUGUUCGGAAUCAUUGGGCGUAAAGCGCGUGUAGGCGGCUGGACAAGUCAGAUGUGAAAGCCCUGGGCUUAACCCAGGAAGUGCAUUUGAAACUGUUCAGCUAGAGUAAGGGAGAGGAAAGUGGAAUUCCUGGUGUAGAGGUGAAAUUCGUAGAUAUCAGGAGGAACACCGGUGGCGAAGGCGACUUUCUGGCCCUAUACUGACGCUGAGACGCGAAAGCGUGGGUAGCAAACAGGAUUAGAUACCCUGGUAGUCCACGCUGUAAACGAUGUUCACUAGGUGUUGGGGGUAUUGACCCUUCCAGUGCCGCAGCUAACGCGUUAAGUGAACCGCCUGGGGAGUACGGUCGCAAGAUUAAAACUCAAAUGAAUUGACGG